RNAcentral lists this ribosomal RNA (232 nucleotides) under uncultured bacterium. RNAcentral describes it as "partial 16S ribosomal RNA". It matches the Rfam family "Bacterial small subunit ribosomal RNA", at positions 99 to 334 of the family's 1533-position model. The record is from RNAcentral.
CGGACGGGUGAGUAAUGUCUGGGAAACUGCCUGAUGGAGGGGGGUAACUACUGGAAACGGUAGCUAAUACCGCAUAACGUCGCAAGACCAAAGAGGGGGGCCUUCGGGCCUCUUGCCAUCGGAUGUGCCCAGAUGGGAUUAGCUAGUAGGUGGGGUAAAGGCUCACCUAGGCGACGAUCCCUAGCUGGUCUGAGAGGAUGACCAGCCACACUGGAACUGAGACACGGUCCAG